AGCUCCAAUAGCGUAUACUAAUGUUGUUGCAGUUAAAAAGCUCGUAGUCGGAUUUCAGUAGGCUCAGUUAAGUCUCAAUUAUGAGUUCUUUAUGGGCCUGCUUCUUUGACAGAAACUUCUAUGUUAUUCAUUUAGCGUGGGUAGCGACUGUCUCUUUUACUUUGAGAAAAUUAGAGUGUUCAAAGCAGGUAUUCGCCUGAAUAUUACUCUUGGAAUAAUGCUAUAAGACUUUGGUUCUAAUGUAUUGGUGAUUGGGACCAGAGUAAUGAUUGAUAGGGACGGUUGGGGUCUUACGUACUGCAAAGCGAGAGGUGAAAUUCUUGGACCUUUGUAUGACGAACAACUGCGAAAGCAUUGGACUAGGACGUUCCCG
RNAcentral lists this ribosomal RNA (373 nucleotides) under uncultured eukaryote. RNAcentral describes it as "SSU rRNA". It matches the Rfam family "Eukaryotic small subunit ribosomal RNA", at positions 587 to 972 of the family's 1831-position model. The record is from RNAcentral.